This is a long non-coding RNA of Rhopalosiphum padi (bird cherry-oat aphid), 1255 nucleotides long. RefSeq lists it as uncharacterized. The record is from RefSeq and is a predicted model, not a curated record. The transcript has 7 exons. NCBI's taxonomy places the organism in Eukaryota, Metazoa, Arthropoda, Insecta, Hemiptera, Aphididae.
UCGAAGAUGGUCUUAUUUUUUGGUGAAAAAUAAUUUUACCAAACAACUAUUGAAAUAAUAAAAUUAUAAUUAAAAAAAGAAAAAUUCUGGAUAAUAUACACUUAUUAUGAUUUUACGUAUGAAAAUAAUUAGAUACCAAAAGUUUCGUAAUAAAUCCUAUAAUAUCACAAAGAGUUCUAUAAAAAAAACAUAUGAUCUAUCAUAUUAUUAUAAAAUGUAUAAUCCAUGGCAAACGACAAUUGUCGUCAUUUGUAGGAGACGAUUAACAGUUCUAAUAAUUUUAUUGAACAGUCGUAAAACAACAGUCUUCAGUACAUGAAAAGUGCUCUAAUUUUCAUAAAAAAUUUCAAUAAUUCCAUUCCGAAUCGUAAAGAAGACGAAUGAAGAAAUAAACUAUUGCUGUUUCUUCGAUGACGGUGCACGUUUGAACUUUAAUAUGGCACAGCUUGAUUUCGCCGAAAAGCGUCGACGGAUACUUACUGCAAAGAAGACGAAUGAAGAAAUAAACUAGCUGUUUCUUCGGCGAUGGUGCACUUUUGAACUGUAAAUGUGAUACAGCUCGAUUUCGCCGAACUGCGUCGAAGAAUACUUACAAUCACGAUGAAAAUCGAUAUGAAGAAAAUUUGCAGUUUCUUAGGCGGCGGUGCACCACUUCAUAUAUAGUAUAUACUAUAGAUUGACACAACUCACGGUUUCUCGGGAAUAGUCGACGAUUACAAUCACGAUGAAGAUCGAUAUGAAGAAAAUUUGGAGUUUCGUCGGCGGCGGUGCACCACUCCAUAGUCCAUAUGCACUGUAGAUUGGAACAACUCGGUUUCCCGGGAAGAGUCGACAUUGAUACAAGUCGUGGUUUUCCGGGAAUAGUUGAUGAUUACUAUCGUCAAUUCGAAACGCGGUAAAGACGGACAAGGAAAUCUGUUCCUGCGUCGGCGAUGUGGAAGUACGAAAGCAUGUUUUUACAUUCGAUUUUUCGCUACCAGAACGACCUCUUAACGUUUGGACAUUACAUAUGAGAUAUUACACAACUAAGUUUCACAAAAAAAUCUAUGUUUACGACGGUACCGGAACGGGUAUGAUUUAGUCACAUGUGUAUAACGAGUCGAAUGUGAAUAACUGCUUGUAUUUGGAAAUUAAUUUUAUUGAUUUUGUAAGUCCUUCUUUAUUAUACGUAGAUCAUAAUCUAUUAACUAUUUAAUAUGUAAUAUUAAUUUAAUGAUUAAACUUUUAAAUAUUAUUAAAAUUGUUAAUCAUUUAG